Molecule: ribosomal RNA, 106 nt
Filed under: Periophthalmus magnuspinnatus
Lineage: Eukaryota; Metazoa; Chordata; Actinopteri; Gobiiformes; Gobiidae
Source: RNAcentral
ACUGGUAAGUGAUGCACCCUCCGCCAUCUUAUCAGAUCUUGGAAGCUAAGCAAGGUCUGGUUAGCACUUGGAUGGGAAACCGCUGGAAAUACCGGGUGCUACAGUG